CAGCCGCGCGGGAAUACAGAGGGUGCAAGCGUUAAUCGGAAUUACUGGGCGUAAAGCGCGCGUAGGUGGUUUGUUAAGUUGGAUGUGAAAUCCCCGGGCUCAACCUGGGAACUGCAUCCAAAACUGGCAAGCUAGAGUAUGGUAGAGGGUGGUGGAAUUUCCUGUGUAGCGGUGAAAUGCGUAGAUAUAGGAAGGAACACCAGUGGCGAAGGCGACCACCUGGACUGAUACUGACACUGAGGUGCGAAAGCGUGGGGAGCAAACAGGAUUAGAUACCCGCGUAGUCCCUGUCUCUUAUACC
RNAcentral lists this ribosomal RNA (301 nucleotides) under uncultured bacterium. Its description in RNAcentral is "partial 16S ribosomal RNA". It matches the Rfam family "Bacterial small subunit ribosomal RNA", at positions 509 to 808 of the family's 1533-position model. The record is from RNAcentral.